Molecule: small RNA, 457 nt
Filed under: Pan troglodytes (chimpanzee)
Lineage: Eukaryota; Metazoa; Chordata; Mammalia; Primates; Hominidae
Description: retained intron
Source: RNAcentral
GAAACAUGGCUUGUACCAUCCAAAAGGCAGAAGCACUUGACGGGGCUCAUUUGAUGCAGAUCCUCUGGUAUGAUGAGGAAGAGUCUCUCUACCCAGCUGUAUGGUUGAGAGACAACUGCCCGUGCUCUGAUUGCUACCUGGAUUCUGCAAAAGCACGGAAACUUCUAGUGGAAGCUCUUGAUGUGAACAUUGGAAUUAAAGGCUUGAUAUUUGACAGAAAAAAGGUGUACAUCACAUGGCCCGAUGAGCAUUACAGUGAAUUCCAGGCUGAUUGGCUGAAGAAAAGAUGCUUUUCCAAGCAGGCCAGAGCAAAGCUCCAAAGAGAAUUGUUUUUUCCAGGUAACUUUGCCAAAGUCUUCAAUGUCUUUUUAAACCCUUACAGUAAAGGAUUUUUAUUAAGAAAUUUGCUCACAGAAAAUUCAAACUUUUGUGCUUUGAUUAAAAUAUGUGACAUGAA